GUCCUUUUGUAUUUAUUUAAGGUCUAGUCUGCCCACUGAAUUUAAAUUUUAAAUGGCCGCAGUAUUUUGACUGUGCAAAGGUAGCAUAAUCAUUAGUUUUUUAAUUAAAAGCUUGUAUGAAAGGCUGGACGAGGUAAAAUCUGUCUCUAUUUAAAUUAUAAUAGAAUUUAACUUUUAAGUUAAAAGGCUUAAAUGUUAUUAAAAGACGAGAAGACCCUAUAGAUCUUUAUAAUUUAUUAAUUGAAAUUAAUUUAGAAUUAUUUAUAUUUUAUUUAAUUAAAUUAUUUUAUUGGGGUAAUAUAAAGAUUGAAUUAAUUCUUUUUUAUAAUAAACAUUAAUUUAUGAAUAUUAGAUGAUCCAGUUUUACUGAUUAUAAGAUUAAGUUACCUUAGGGAUAACAGCGUAAUUUUUUUAGAGAGUUCAUAUCGAUAAAAAAGUUUGCGACCUCGAUGUUGGAUUAAAGAUUAUUUUAGGUGUAGAAGCUUAAUAAUUUUGGUCUGUUCGACCAUUAAAUCUUUAC
RNAcentral lists this ribosomal RNA (520 nucleotides) under Carabus huangi huangi. RNAcentral's name for it is "partial 16S ribosomal RNA". The stretch from base 394 to 520 matches the Rfam family "Bacterial large subunit ribosomal RNA", at positions 2473 to 2599 of the family's 2925-position model. The record is from RNAcentral. Lineage: Eukaryota; Metazoa; Arthropoda; Insecta; Coleoptera; Carabidae.